Molecule: long non-coding RNA, 1423 nt
Filed under: Sus scrofa (pig)
Lineage: Eukaryota; Metazoa; Chordata; Mammalia; Artiodactyla; Suidae
Description: lncRNA (ENSSSCG00015077933.1)
Source: RNAcentral
AUGCAGCGAAGCCUCCUCCAGCCCUGGCUGUGGGGGCUCCAGGGUGUAAAGGAUCCUAGUGCCCGCGCAGGCGCCAGGGAGACGCGGGGGGGGGGUCGCUCCCCUCGGCCCCUUGGCUGGCUCCCCUGGUGCAGUGGAACCCACGCACUGUCUCUGGCACAAUUACAGACCACAGGCGGGCCUGUCCCCUCAGGAAUCCAACUGGAGUCGGGCUCUGAGUUUAAAGAGCACAGGCUCAGGCCUCACCGGGACACACCUCGGGCGGGAUGGGCGGCGUCUGGCUUCCGUCCCCCUUCCCACCACCAGGCCUUCGCAGCACACUUCAGUAACUGGGUCAACUUCCCUUUAAAAUUCAUCAUGACUUUUCAUUUUUCCAGGAACAUAGGGAGGACGAUGGCUACGAAGGCAAGUAAUGCAGUGUGAGCCUCGCUCCCCAUGGAGCCACACCUGCCCCGCCUGGGGGCAGCAGGACCUCGGCCCCCCGGCGACCUGCAGUCCUUGCAGGGGGAGAAGGGCCUGGUGUCCCCCUCCCCCAUGGUCAGCGUGCGGCCUGCACCCACGUGGCCAGUGAGUCUGCAGCCAGAGCCUGUCUGUAGCUCCAUGGGGAGGGCAGGGGAGGCAUUAGGCAAGGCGCCCUCGGGCCCAGCCGGUGGCUGGGGAGCUAACAUGAGAUGCCCCUGAGCGGUUUCCCCCAGCCGUCCCAGCCCUGAAUGUGAGGGCUGGGGGCUGCCCUGCAGACCCUCGGAGGGGUGGACCGUCAUUUCACUUCGUGCCUGGGUGUCAUUUUCCCAAAUUAACUCAGCACGUUGUCAAGCGGCAACAGAAGGAUGACCAGCAGGUCCCCAGCCACUGCCGCCCCGGUGACUCAGGGCCCGGCCUUUUGGUCACACCUGGCCCCUGGUGCGCCAGUCCUGCUGUGCAUGCACUGUGACUCCUCUUCCCACCGGACACCCGCUCACCCUGGUCUCGCUUCUGCUUUGCCCCCCCAAGGCAAGCGGUAGAGCCAGGCCUGAGAGUGUGCCCCACAGUCCCCCGAGACCACGGCUCCAAGGCCGCCUGGCCCACGAGUGGACGCCUUAUGCACACUCACACACACGCCCCCUCCCCCCAGAGCAUCUUGCCUCAGGCUCCAGGAUGCUUUCUAGUUUAAAAAAAAAAAAGCAGGAAAAAUUCCCUGAAACAAGUGUGAAAGUUUCCAUUCAGUUACUACCACGAGCCACCUAGUAGUGAAAAUAACUAGUAAGUUUCAUUAGCAGUCCUGGCACCAAACGGUGACUGUCAUCUCUUUGUUGGAAAUCAGUUUCCUGCUGCAGCCGCGAACAGUCCACUAGGUUCUGAGCAGAGGCAGCUGCGGAAGCAAGGGUGUGGCGGGCAGGCCCACAGUCACCCUCCAAAUACCUAACUGGUGCUCUGUACAGAAUGG